UGGGGAAUUUUGGACAAUGGGCGAAAGCCUGAUCCAGCAAUGCCGCGUGUGUGAAGAAGGCCUUCGGGUUGUAAAGCACUUUUGUCCGGAAAGAAAUCCUUGGCUCUAAUACAGUCGGGGGAUGACGGUACCGGAAGAAUAAGCACCGGCUAACUACGUGCCAGCAGCCGCGGUAAUACGUAGGGUGCAAGCGUUAAUCGGAAUUACUGGGCGUAAAGCGUGCGCAGGCGGUUUGCUAAGACCGAUGUGAAAUCCCCGGGCUCAACCUGGGAACUGCAUUGGUGACUGGCAGGCUAGAGUAUGGCAGAGGGGGGUAGAAUUCCACGUGUAGCAGUGAAAUGCGUAGAGAUGUGGAGGAAUACCGAUGGCGAAGGCAGCCCCCUGGGCCAAUACUGACGCUCAUGCACGAAAGCGUGGGGGAGCAAACAGGAUUAGAUACCCUGGUAGUCCCACGCCCUAAAACCGAUGUCAACUAGUUGUUGGGGAUUCAUUUCCUUAGUAACGUAGCUAACGCGUGAAGUUGACC
This 526-nucleotide ribosomal RNA is filed under the name uncultured bacterium. RNAcentral describes it as "partial 16S ribosomal RNA". It matches the Rfam family "Bacterial small subunit ribosomal RNA", at positions 355 to 870 of the family's 1533-position model. The record is from RNAcentral.